CCUCCGGGGGCAAGAGGUUCGACCCGAGCGAAGCGAGAGAACGUUGCGUCAGCAACGGCCCGCAGGGCGAGCCANCGCAGUGGCGAGUCAUCCUCUAUCACCGACCA
Molecule: small RNA, 107 nt
Filed under: Salmonella enterica subsp. enterica serovar Agona
Lineage: Bacteria; Pseudomonadati; Pseudomonadota; Gammaproteobacteria; Enterobacterales; Enterobacteriaceae
Description: RtT sRNA
Rfam family: RtT RNA
About the family: This family represents a bacterial cis-regulatory element known as RtT RNA. The exact function of RtT is unknown although it is thought that it may be involved in changing the cellular response in relation to amino acid starvation.
Source: RNAcentral